AGCUGAAGAAGCACGUCUUUGGAAUAAGCGUCGAAUCCCUUCCACGAGCGUUCCACCACCACCACCACCCAUCCUGUCUACUUCGCUUAGAAUACUCUGCCACUCCAAUCCACCAUUUCUCCUUCUCUCUCUUACUUGGAUUCUUUUUUGUUCUCCUAUGAUAACGCGAGCGAUGCGGAGAAUCCAGGCACUCAGCAGAAUCAGAGAGAGGAUGUUGAUUAUUGUAACGUCAAGUGCGAAUGAGCUGUUGCCAUAUGGGUCAGUGAUCGCACUUCUCUCACGUUUUGUCAUUGCUAAUUUAGUUUAUUUUUUACGCGGUUGACAGGUACGUGCUAGUGAUGUUGUGAUGCUUCUUUUUUCAUUUCUUUCCCGCAUGAUAUCUUGUCUACCUUUAUACUUUUCUUUCUUUUUUUUCUUCUUUUUAAUGUAUUACUAUUUACUAGGCAUCUAUCAGCUCACGAAGCAUGAGGUGUCGCUUCCGUCAUUUCUCAGUUUGGCGUUCCUAACAUAUGAGUAUUGGACCCCUAUGGCCCUAUUGCAGUUUUAGUUGUGGCCAUGAUGCAGGAGGUGGCAGCUGCAACUAGCUUCAGUGCCAUACCGUCAUUUUGGCGGGGAUCACCGAGGUGUUGGCGAAUUAUUCGUUUUUCAUUCAGAGUAUGUGUCAAUAAGUGAAGUACAUGAUUUGGCUCCCAUUUUAGAUUUCCCGUUGCAUGUUCAGUAACUCA
This is a non-coding RNA of Arachis ipaensis, 725 nucleotides long. The record is from RefSeq and is a predicted model, not a curated record. Lineage: Eukaryota; Viridiplantae; Streptophyta; Magnoliopsida; Fabales; Fabaceae.